AUCAGCAUUUUACCCAUUCUUUCUCUCUCUUUAGUUUCAACCGUUCGCAAAAAGGGGUCUGUAAACCCUAAAAAAAAUUCUCCCGGAGAAGACGGCCGAAGGCGGCGCCUCCUUCCUUCUCCGGUCACCCUACCCCAAAACACCAUCUAGCUUACUAAACACGACCUUCUGAGGUCGAAUCUGAACCCAAAAUUUCCUAAACCAUGCUCGAACCUUCUAGAUCUCUAAACCCUUACCGCGAAAUCUAAGUUCUUGCAUGUGGCGAUUUAAGAGAAUUAAUGGGGAUUUUGUUUCACUUACCACGACAGAGGAGAUGGAAAGGCGAUUUCAGGCGGAGAAGAGUGCUUUGAUCUGAGUCCGUCGCCGGCAACCCGUCACAGUUCCGGAUAAGUUUCCUUCCUCAACUUUUCUUCUUUGUCUGUUUCGUCUGAUGAUUAAAUGGCAAAUCUGUUUCAGUUUUUUUUUGUGUUAUGGUUUGCUGGCUUUUUCGGAAAUUUGAUGUUCUUAAUCUCUGGGAUUUCUAAAAAAUGUUUGAUGUUUGCUAUUUGGUUUUUUGGGUUUUUUUUCGAAAUCUUGUUGUUGUUGUUCUUGCUGUUGUACUUUGCUGUUGUGUGUUUUGCUGUUAACUUAAUAGGACUUUCAGAAAAUAUUGCUCUGUUGUUUGGGUUUGAAAAAAUGAAUUGCUCUGUUGUUCUUGUUUAGGGUUUUGAGAAAAUAUAUCUUGCUUGUUCUGUUGGAUCUCAAAAACGUGUCCUCUCACUGUUAAUUGAUUUUGUUAUAUAUGAAUGUUGGUUUCUGUGAGAUAACUUGUUGGAUCUUGUUUCCAGAUUUUAUGGGAUGUUUGCUUUGUGGAUUUAAGGUUGUUUAUUUGGAUAUUGGAAUGUGUUUUUUUGGGCGUUUUCUUUGAUUCAUCGUGCAACAUACUUACCUGUUUAUUUAAUCAUUUAUUUUCCAGUUUGUUUUAAGUGCUUAUUUGAUAAGCUUUUUCUUUGAAUUGUUUUUUUUGCAGGUGAAGUGAUGUUGAUUAGGAAAGGAGGCGGCGCCAGCUUGGGAUUGGGGCGUUGGAGCUUCCAAAAGAGCUUUUGGAAAAGUCUUGGAAGCUGCUUCAAUCUGUUGGAUACUCAACUUGUUCAAUUUUUCUUCAAAUUUAUUUAGCUGUAACAAAUCUUUUGGAUUGUAACCUUAGGGACUAAUCAUGUAACCUCUGUUGAAUUAUUUGUAAGAUCUGCAUAUUUUAAACUCUUUUGAUUAUGCCUUGGCCUUUUUUGGAGUAAUUUGUAACAUUUGGAUUUAAUUAGAACUUUGAAUAUGAAAAUUGGGGUUGAAACGUAUAACCUCCUGUAUCAUGUACUGGCCCCCCCUUUUUUGAAUUAUUUGUAACAAUUAAAUAUGCAAUUAAUCCCUUUUAAAAGAAACAUUCUAAGAUUUAUUCUAAUAUCUCAUUUGUGUGAGUUAUUUAAAA
This 1462-nucleotide long non-coding RNA is filed under the name Lathyrus oleraceus (garden pea). RNAcentral's name for it is "Pisum sativum (pea) long non-coding RNA (PSAT_LNC036971)". The record is from RNAcentral. Lineage: Eukaryota; Viridiplantae; Streptophyta; Magnoliopsida; Fabales; Fabaceae.